This 517-nucleotide long non-coding RNA is filed under the name Triticum aestivum (bread wheat). Its description in RNAcentral is "long non-coding RNA (TAES_LNC021389)". The record is from RNAcentral. Lineage: Eukaryota; Viridiplantae; Streptophyta; Magnoliopsida; Poales; Poaceae.
GGCAAGGUUGUCAUCUGGACCAGUGGCAAAGGAGGAGGCAAGUGGGAAGGAAAGCUCAUGCGUGACUUCGAGGCUCCGGUGUGGAGGGUGUCCUGGUCCCUGACGGGAAACAUCCUGUCCGUGGCUGCCGGCGAGGGCGACAUAACUCUGUGGAAGGAGUCGUCAGACGGGCAGUGGGAGUCGCUGUGGACCAAGGCCUCAGAGGAGCCGCCGCAGGAGGAGCAGGCGAUAGAGGAGGCCAUGCAGUAGGAGGGGAGUCUGCGCCACAUCUCCCGUGUCGAUUUCGGACCGUGAUUCGUGUUUCUAGCGCCAAUGCCAUGACUUGCUUUCACCUGAUACUCUUAGAGAUACUCGUUGCCAUCUUUUUUGCCGUUUGUUUCUACAUGGACAAUGUCUGAUUGCACUUUUAAGUUUUAUACUGGUCAUGUACUCUUUGUGCACACCGUCAGAAUGUAUCGGCUGUUUGAACUGUUUAUAUCCUGCACUGGCUGUUAUCGGUGUUAUGUAUGCUCGUGUG